GCCGUGCCUGCAGGACUUCCCUUCGCUUGGGCGCAAGCCGGCGAUUAGCCUGGUCCCCUAGGACAUCUCCAGGGCUCCGGGGAACCUCUCCUGCGCAGGCUUGGCCCUGCCUCCUCCAAGCGUCCGAGUCUUUUUCGGCUUUUGGUGAGCCUCAGAGAGGGACGUUUCCUGCCAACGCUGCUGCGAAGGAAAGUUUGGGCGGCGUUAUCCCGACUGCCUUCCUCGCCAGCGCCGGCGAGCAGCUUGGGGACACAGCCGACGCCCGGGCAUCCUCCCCGACGACUCCCCGGAGCGCUCCCUGUUCAGACUCCUUUCCGAGAAGCACGCAGAAGUGACAGCCCCGGAGCUUCGUUCCGGUGUAGGUGUGGGGAUGCCCCGCAAGGCAGGAAGGGAAGGCGCUCCAAUUGAAGGGGGCACCCCGGGGCCCGCGCCGACUCCUCCCGGCGCAGCCUUGGCUCGCCGGAGUCGCGGGUCGGAGGCUGGCGCCGCUGCCCGCCGACCAGCACCCUGGCGCCAGGCGCCCGGCUCCACGCCGCACCCUUGGCGGCGCUGUGCGAGGGGCUCUAGCGCCCGCCGCGGCGCAGUCUCGUGAACCCCGCUCCAAUUUUUUCCUACGGAGGCGCAGAGGAGGGUGAAUUCGCGCUCUCCUUCCCGACGCCCCGGCUUCUGGGAGCGUCAGAGCAACGGAAGUACGUACAGGAGGACCGAGAGCAGCAGGGAAGUUUGGCGGUGGGCUGGGGUCGGCGGCGAAGAUUCCCUGCCGUGCGCUGCCCCCUCGUGGCCGCUUUGCGUUCCCGUCGGGAAGGGCUGGGUUCCAGUCCAGGGCCCAGCACAAACCAGGAUUGGCUGGACGCUGCACAGCGAGUUCAGUCAGGGCUAACAUCAGAAGAGUCGUGGAGGGCCUGCCUAUCGGCCAGCCUGUCCUUGUGGUUUGUGAAGUUGUAUGAUCUUUCUGUUAUUAUUAAGGAAAAAAGUAGUAUUUGUUGAGGCUAAAAGGCCAAGAGCGUGCUAUAUAUUAUUUAAUCCUCUAAACAGCUCUGCGAGAUAAUUAUUUUAUUUAUUUAUAUUUACUUCCAUAGCUUUAGACAGGAUCUCGUUCUGUCAGGCAGGCUAGAGCGCAGGGUGCUAUCACGGCUCACUGCAGCCUCAAACUCUUGGGCUCAAGCCAUCCUUUCACCUCAGCCUCCUGAAUAGUGGAAACUACAGGCGUGCCACCGCGCCUGGCUAAAUUUUUAAUUUAAAUUUUUUGUAGCGACGGGGUCUCCUUAUGUUGCCCAGGCUAGUCUCAAACUCCUGGGCUCAAGAGAUGCUCCAACCUCAUCUUCACAAAGUGCUGGGAGUACAGGCGCCAGCCACGGUGCCCAACCUGUGAUAAUUAUUUUAAACUCAUUUUACAAAUGAGGAAAGUGAUAUUCAUACUUGUAAAGCCAUUGGGGCUGAAUUUUCAUUUUUGUAUCCACAGAACUAACACAUAAAGUUUACAUGCCAUUAGAAUGUAAGCUCUCUGUAAGCUACAGAUCUUUUCCACUGUAAUAUCCUUAGUGCCUAGGGCAGUGCCUAGCAUAUAGUAGGUGUUCAAUAAAUAUUUGUAGAAUGAAUGAAA
This 1603-nucleotide long non-coding RNA is filed under the name Pan troglodytes (chimpanzee). RNAcentral describes it as "lincRNA". The record is from RNAcentral. Lineage: Eukaryota; Metazoa; Chordata; Mammalia; Primates; Hominidae.